Molecule: long non-coding RNA, 1204 nt
Filed under: Populus trichocarpa (black cottonwood)
Lineage: Eukaryota; Viridiplantae; Streptophyta; Magnoliopsida; Malpighiales; Salicaceae
Description: long non-coding RNA (PTRI_LNC004511)
Source: RNAcentral
CACCGGGAAUAGCCGCGGCCCAGACAGUGUAAGGGCAUUGGUUUCGGAUUUCGAAAGUAGCUGCGUUGCUUAAGGUGAAGAAAUGGGCAAAAAGAAGGAAGCAGGGAAGCAAUGAGAAGUAAGAAAAAGGACUCAAACUGAAGAAAAAUGGAUUGAGAAUGCUGGUAUGUUGUGAUUAUUUGAGAGGGCUUAGGACAGCUUUUAUAGGAGAAGUGUCACAGUUUGCUAGUGCGGUUGGAUCAAGAGCAAUGCAAAAAAAAUAAAAAUAAUAAUAAUAAUAAUUAAAGGAUAUCUACCAAGAAAGAAAAACCAAACUGUUAUGGAAAGCAGGAAAAAACAAACUCUCAAGUCAAAGCUUUCAACAUUUGCAUUGGUCUAAAAGACAGUGGGAUGAGAUUGAAACUAGUGUUUGGCCAUGUCCCUCUAUAAAUAACGUAUAAUAGAUCCCUCUAAAAAAAACAAAUAUUUGAAAGAGAGUUUGUUAUUUCACUGAUAGUGUUUUAUAAAGUAUUUUAUUUUAUUUGAAAAUAUAUUUAAAUAAUAAUUUUUUAUUUUUAAAAAUUUAUUUUUAACAACAUCACAUCAAAAUAAUCCAAAAAUAUAAAAUAUUAAUUUUAUAUAUAAAAAAAAAUUUAGAAAUGCGCCACUGUUCCAAGCAAGCUCCGAGUAUAUUUUAUACCCUUCAAGAAACUCCGUAGCUGUAACUUGUAAGAGAGGGAGAGAGAGUACAAGAAAAAAUUAUAAAUCUUUAUUUUUUAAAUUGUAUUUUUAGAUAUUUUAUAAUUCUAAGUCAUGUUGUUACUUUUAAAUAAAAAUGUUUAUUAAUUUGAAAUAUAGAUUUUGAAAAGAAAAAAAUAAUUAAAAAUAAAAAAAAUAAAUGAUGGAGAAGAAAGAUGAACAUACAUAUUCGCAUGGUCCAUGAUUCGCCUGGGUGGAGUCUUUGGCCACCACCGGGAACAGCCGCGGCCCAAACAGUGUAAGCGCAUAGGUUUCGGAAUUCGAAAGUAGCUGCGUUGCUUAAGGUGAAGAAAUAGGCAAAAAGAAGGAAGCAGGGAAACAAUGCUAAGUAAGAAAAAGGACUCAUAGUGAAGAAAUAUGGAUUGAGAAUGCUGGUGUGUUGUGAUUAUUUGUGAGGGCUUAGGACAGCUUUUAUAGGAGAAGUGUCACAGUUUGCUAGUGCCGUUGGAUCAAGAGCAAUGCAGAG